GGAUACAAGGAUGAUCUGGCUGUGACAUCUCUCACCCCACUGAUCACCAGGGGUGAUCUGUACCAGCUGGCUGGCUAGGCGGAUGUUCACUCUCUCCCCCCUCACCACUCCUUAUGCGCCCCUUGAAAGCCUGUGCGCUCUGUGUGCUACCUCACUGAAUGGAGAAGGACUGGUCCUCUGUCGAGAGUAUAUGAGUAGCUGCUUCUCCUGCUAAGAACAGUGGUUCUUAACCUUCUAAUGCUUUGACCCUUUAAGACUGUCCCUCAUGUUGUGACCCCCCCCACAACUGUA
Molecule: small nuclear RNA, 291 nt
Filed under: Mus pahari (shrew mouse)
Lineage: Eukaryota; Metazoa; Chordata; Mammalia; Rodentia; Muridae
Description: sRNA (MGP_PahariEiJ_G0008218.1)
Rfam family: 7SK RNA
About the family: 7SK was discovered as an abundant small nuclear RNA in the mid-70s but a possible function has only recently been suggested. Two independent studies have found that 7SK RNA binds the CDK9/cyclin T complex (known as elongation factor P-TEFb).
Source: RNAcentral